Molecule: transfer RNA, 74 nt
Filed under: Sediminitomix flava
Lineage: Bacteria; Pseudomonadati; Bacteroidota; Cytophagia; Cytophagales; Flammeovirgaceae
Rfam family: tRNA
About the family: Transfer RNA (tRNA) molecules are approximately 80 nucleotides in length. Their secondary structure includes four short double-helical elements and three loops (D, anti-codon, and T loops).
Source: Rfam by way of RNAcentral
GGUCUGAUAGCUCAACUGGAUAGAGCAACUGCCUUCUAAGCAGUAGGUUCCAGGUUCGAGUCCUGGUCGGAUCA